Molecule: long non-coding RNA, 11437 nt
Filed under: Salvia miltiorrhiza (redroot sage)
Lineage: Eukaryota; Viridiplantae; Streptophyta; Magnoliopsida; Lamiales; Lamiaceae
Description: long non-coding RNA (SMIL_LNC005973)
Source: RNAcentral
UUUUGCACACUGACAAGAAUCCAGAGCGUCAAUUUUAUACAUGCCCUCGUACUUCGGUAAUUUUUCAAUUUUCAUUAAUGUUUAUAGUGUUCGUAUGUAGUGGAAUCAACCCCAUUAACUGCUUCAAAUCUAUCCAUAUGACGCACAAACAUAGCAAAUUCUUCACUGUAAGAAGCAAAAAAGUAAAACCUAAAUCAGCAACUAACCAUCGAAAACAUGCAUUACACAAGAUGUUUCACAAUAAACCAACAUGCAAUACAACACUAACCAUCAACUAAAGCAAAAAAAUCAAACCCAAAAAACACUCUUUCAGUGCACCCUUACGGAUUAGACAUCGCCGACGAUGAUGAAGACACUUGCAACACAGCUUUCAACGGAAACAAUGCGUGCUUCUUCUUCCUCAGACGACGAUGAAACACAAGGGUGGAAGGAGACGACUGUUCAAUUUUUGCCUUUAAAAAUAUUUCUUCAAAUUUCAUUGUAUAAUAAAGUUAUUUAAUUCAGGAUCAAAACGGCGACGCUUUGGGCUUCAUUUAAUGACUUAGCAUAAGUGUGCCACGUAGGGAGACACGUCAUGUAAUUAGUGGUCCGAAAACAUCAUUAGGAGAAAAUUAAUAAUCGAAGCAGCAGUCAUAGAUUUUAACGCGAAAUUUUUAAGUCAGGGGAAAAAUGAGAAUUGCGCUAAUUUUCAUAGAUUUUGGCGCUAUUUAUCUUAAAUUAUUGUGUGCGUCCACAUUUUUAUUAUUAUUACUUUGGAGAAGUGGAGCGAUAGGAUUCGAACCUUAAAUUUCGUUACCGAUAAAUUGAAAUCACCAGCUAUAUAGCUAGAAUGUCUGUUUGAGAACAAAAAUUAUAAUGCAUGGACAAUUUUAAUCACUCUUUAAAUAUUAUAUCGUGUUGUUAUGCAAGCAUAGUACAAAAUUGAAUCGUUAUGAUUAGUUGGGAUCCACCAAUUAAUGUGCGAUAACCAUAAAUGUGUAACCAAAUUAUUGUACCAUGAUAUGUCUGUCUUUUUAUUCCAACAACUGUGACAUUCAUGCUUUUGUCCAUGUUGCAUAUGCAUUCAAGAUUAUUAUAUUUGCUACUAUUUUCUUUUUAGAUCAUAGAUUGCAUGUGGACUUUUCCAAUCAUUUUCAAUAUCUGUGAUCCCACAAUCUAUUAUUAAUUCCACUUAUUAUAAAAUUAAGUACGCGGCCCUAAUACCAUGAAGGUGCAUUUGAUGUAUUAUUAAUUCCACUUAUUCAACAAUUAAGUACGCGGCCCUACCAUAAAGGUGCAUUUGAUGAUUUUAUGGAGGUGAUUGAUAAGAUUGAUAGAGUUGAAAAUUGAUUCAAUAUUUAAUUUAAUUUAAUUUUAACAUGAUAAAUAAUUAUAUAAUUGAAUGAUUAUAGUGUGGAUUGAGUUAUUCAUUAUCGAGUGAAUUAUAAAAUUUAAUAUUUGAUUAAAUUGAAUUAUUUUAUUUUAUCAAUCAUGUCUUAUCCCUGGAAUCAAAUAUUUUCUAAUAGUUGUCUCAAAAACUAAAUUUAUCAUUAAUACAUACUACACACACAUAUAUGUAUAGGAUUUUAUAUUUUUAGGUCAAAUAUCAUUUUAUAAAUCCUAAAUUAUUUUUUAUAUUAUCAAUUAUAUUUUGAGCUAUCGAAAAUACUUUUUAAUCAAGAACUAUUGAUUUUAUAUUAAUUGUACCCUCCAAUCAUUUUUCAAUUUCGAAAAAAUGGUCGUGGCUCGCCGAAUAUCACUGUGUAUCUAAAAUUGUUCCUUUUUCACUUACAUUUAUGUCAAAAAAUGACUGGUUCUAUUGUUACAAAGAAGGGUUGUUGAAGAUUUCUUUUUUCAAUUAAUAAGGCAGAAAUUGACUUCGUUCUUUGCCAUUUAAGUUAAAAAAGAAUAAUUUUAAAUAUAUCGUGUCAUCGACACAAAAAAUUGAUAGUUUAUGAUUAAUUAAAAGAAUAUUUUCAAAUAAUUAGUAGAUUAUUUGCAUUCCCACUUUUCCCUCAAGGUGCAUUCAUCGAUAUUUGAAACUAGUGUCGCUUCCGACAUGAACUGAGAAGGAUGUUGGACAAGUAUAUUUUUACGGGACUGAGGGAGUAUAAAAAUGCCAAAGUAUCUUUUCUCGAUGAAGAUCCAUAUAUGAAUAAUGCAUUUUUUUUGUUUUUGUUUUUUUUUUUUUGCGUUUUUUUUUCUUUCCAAAAGAUUCAAAGUUCUGAAAUGAUAAUUAGAUUUUGAACUUUGAUUUGGUUAAAAUAUGGUGCAUAAACCUAAUUUUCAUUGUCGUAUAAUAAAGUUCAAACUAUAUAUGGAUAUUCUUAAACGUACAUAACACAAGAUUCGAAGCUUUAUCUUACAAAAAACGAAAUCAAAGUUUCAAGAACUCUAGCUACACCAAAUAAAAAUCUUAGGGCCGGUCUUGCAUGCGGCGGUCGCACUCCAGUGCGACGAGUUCGCCCCGACCCGACCCGUGCCCAGACCCAAAAUCCUGAAUCCUAAAUUAUUACAUUUGUUUAUAAUAAUUAAUACUUUUAAUAAGAAUGAAAUAUACAUUUGUUCGCACAAAUGUAUACUUAUAUAAAUAUAGGUAUUUAAUUACCUUCAUUUAAUAUAAAGUAUUAUAUUUUCUAAACCCUAAAUUCUAUAAACUAAACCCUAAACCUUGUAAACUAAACCCUAAGCCUGAACACUAAACCCUAAUAGGAGUAUUUACUUUUAAUAAGCAUAAGAUAUACAUUUGGUCGCACAAAUGUAUACUUAUAUUAAUAUAAAUAUUUACCUUCAUUCAAUAUAAAACAUUAUACAUAUCAAUAUACAUUUAUAUGAACAAAUGUAUAUAUUAUGUUUAUAAAAAGUAAUAAUUAUUAUAAACAAAUGCAAUAAUUAGGAGUAUGAGUCAAACUAACGCGGGUCAGGGUUCCGGGUCAGGAGGGCGGGUUUGGAGCCGGGUCGACCCGUCGCACACCUGUGCGACGGUCGCACCCAAUAAUCUGCGUUAUAAUUCUAUUUUGAAAAACAACACAAAACCUUACGGACUUAUUUAUACUUUAUUAUACCUAUAAAUUACAGUUUUUAAUUACAACGUAAUCCUCAUACCUAUAUAUAUAUGGGUGAGCUAAAACGAAAACACAACUUAAAAUAUAAUAUGAAUCAUUUUCAGCUUUUAUAUCAAUAUUUAUCUAGAUAGGGUGAAUUUUUACCUGAGUUCAAAUUCUGAAGGGAGCGAAAAUUUUAUCAAUUAAUUGAAUAUCGUUAUUCAGUCAUUACAAACAGCUUAUGCAAUACUAUAUACUCACUUAUUUAUUAUUCUUAUUUCUUAUUAAAAAAAUAGCAUUCUCAUUGUAACCUAACUCUAGAUAUAGAUGACGGGGGAAAUCUACAAUAGUAUGCACUGAAUAAAUCUAACUCUAGAUACAGAUGACGAGAGAAAUCUUCAAUAGUAUGCACUGAAUAAAUCUCGGUCGAACGCAAUAGCCUGCAAAAUCAAGUAUGACAUGUUCGAUUUAAUUAGAAAGUGUUGGAUUUUAGGUGUUUUAGUUUGGUAAAAAUUGAGAUUGGAGAAGCUAUAGUUCCAUGAGCAUUAAAGGUAGAUGGCAUGCAAUUGAGAAGCACAUUAAAUCCGAUGAUAAGUUACCGUUAAAAUGGUAGUUGAAAUGGGCCAGCUGAGGAUAAGGUGUAGCCCAAUAAAGGCCCAUAAUAAUUUCCACAAUAAAUAGGCAGUACCGACAUCUCACGUGAUCUUUUACGGUUUUACCCAACAACAAGAAAUGGCGUAGGACCCAACCACCCUUUUGCACUUUUUAAAACCAAUUAUCAGAUUAUUUCAUUUUGUUAUUAGCCAUUUGUGUAAUCUACUCUGAUUUAACAAUUCAUGGGAUUGGGCAAGCCACAUAUUCUGAAAGGCUAAGCAUGCAUUUUCAAAUGUAGACAAAUGCAUUGAUUGAUCAUAAAAACUGUCAGUAUCAUAGGAUCGGUCAAAUUGAAAACUUGAAUGCCAGCAAAAUCACUGAUUUUUAUUUAUUUUUUUAUAUAAAAAAUGGGUUUAUUACAUUAGUAAAAGUUUGGAAACAGCCAAAUUUGAGUUGAUUAUGAUAUUUAGGAAAGCCGCCAGAUUUUUGUUGAGUACAAUAUUCUAGAGGGUCGCAGACACUUCCAGAAUUUAGUAGUAUUGCAAAUAAAUGUAUUGCUGCUAUAAACGUGUGCAUUAUAUCUAUAAUAAAUAAUUACAUAUGGAUGUUAUUUAUUUUGAUAAAAGAUAAAACUCUUUUUGUUAAAAACGUAUGCACCCGUUUAAAAAAAUCUGAAGAUAUAAAAUAGGAGUAUAUUUUAUCUAUUUUAUAAAUAUUUUAUUUAAAUUCGAAACUUUGACGUGCAUCAUACAACUAGGUAAUUACUAAAAAGAGAACCAUACAAAUGCUUAGCUGGCUGGAGAAGUAAUCUUUUAUUUGAUUGAAUUAAUGUCUACCGAACUUUUCAUAGAAUUGAAAUGGCGAUGAAAUUAAUGCAUCCUUAAACCCCAAAUGAGGAAAUGAGUGAUGAUAAAUAGUCAUUGUGGCUGCCCAUAUAUUAAUUAAAUAAAGGACCUUGCUAUUUGGAUCAAUUUGAUCCGGAUCAAAUCAAAAAAUUUAUUACAUUUCAAUAUAAAAAGACAUUUUUACCCUUUAUGUAUUUUAUAUUUUAUAAUUUAAUGUAUUAAUUAUAUAUGUGUGUGUAUAUUGGGAACAUUAAUUUCAUUAAAUAUUUUUAUAUUUUCAAUGAAAAUUUUGACUAAUUUACAAUGUAUUUUGUAACAAACAUGAAUCUUUUUAUUUUCAUGACAUCUGUACGUUUUUUUUUUUUGUUAACAUGAUUUCUUUAUUUUGUUAACAUGAUUUCUUUUUGUAAACACGCCUUUUACUUACUUUAAUUUUAAAGCCAAAAAAUAUUGUAUUUUCUUGUUGACCAAAAUUUAGAGGAAACGAAUCAUAAUUGAAUAACCAAUUAUUUCAUUGGCAUUUGAUCGAUAAAUAUAAACAAUUUCAUGAUUAUGUUUUUUACUUAUGUAAUUUGUCGAAAAUAAAUUAUAUUGUAUUAAAUACAAUUAAUUCAUAUUUUUUCAUUUAUUAACUAAUACUUAAUUUUUUAUAUUUGUCAAAAAAAUUGAGCUUACUUUAAUAUAUAUAAAAACAUGAAAUCGAAUUGUCACUUCUUGUCCAAUUGCUACAAUUGAAGUAUAUAUAGUUUCGUCACUAAUAUAUAUGAAUAACAACUUACCUUUAGUGAUCGCCAAUUAAUUUUAAAAUGUAUUGUAUAAUUUUGAUACCUUUUUUUGGAUUUCUUAAUACAUUAAAAAAAUUUAAACUACAAAUAAAGUGUCAAAAUUUAAUAAGGGCCCGAAACGACUGAAGCCUUCGAACAAAAACACGAAGCUCUUUUCUUAACUCUUGUAAAAUUUUCAUUUAGAAAACACCACUAUUUUUUUUGUUAUAUUUGUCUUCAAUUAAUUUUGUUGAAAGUCAUUUGUUUAUAAUUCUAUAGUGAUUGUAUUAGUUUUGUAUUUCUUAAUGUUGUAACUUGACGAAAAUAAACUAUACUUUGUUAAAUAUAAUUAAUUCAUCAUUUUUACUAAUAACUAUAAACAAAGAGUCCAAUUUUUUGUCAAGGACAGAGGCCUCAAGUUAUCGUAGAUCGUCCUUGCAUAUAUAUACAUUUUUAAAUAUUUCAAAACACAUGCACACAUGAGUCGAUCAACUGAAUAAGAUUGGAUGAGAAGCGUCUUAUCAAUUGAACUGCGUUUCAUUAUCAUUUAUAUACAUUUUUUUUCAAAGAAAUUUAUAUAUAUAGUGACUGUCUUAGUUUUAUAUUUUAAAUUUAUGUAAUUUGNCGGAUGCAGAGGCGUUUGAUGAUCGUAUCGAAAGACUCCAGUUCUGAUCUUCUGAACUGUAUCCCGCUCAGCUUUCACCGUUGGAUGGACAACGAACUAUGAAAGUACCAAGCUAGAAAUCUCCUACACGUUUCCUGCGCCUCCCAUAGCUCUCAAAACCCUAAUUUUAUCAGUGUGUCUUUUCUGAGAGCUGACAGCUGUAUUUGAUAAUAAAAGAAAGAGAGAGAAAAAGAGCAGGCAGAAAUAGCCAAGCGUGAUGACGACGUCGCCGGGGUAGUGGAACGUCUGAGCGGAGCUGAGGCAGAAAUUGCUGAGUUGAAGGCCAAGCUGGCCCAAGUAGAGGUGGAAAAGUCGUCCCUGGCCUCCGAACUGACAAGGGUGACGAGGGAGAGCCAUGAGAGCCUUAUCAGAUUCAAGGCGGGGUACGAAAAAGACUACAGGGAAGCCAGGCGUGACUGGAGGAAAACACUUGUGGAAGCACAGAACCGUGCUUAUGUCCUAGGGGCGCGACCAGUAAAUUUAGUCGGGUUUUGGAGAGCUGUGGGCGCAGGAAACGUGAGGAGCUUGAGUCAGUUUUUCGCAGGAAAUCAAGUUCUGGCAGUUUCGGGAGAACGGCCAUAACUUCCUCCACAGAACUCCGAUUCAGGUGAAACAGGCGGCCACGGAAAGCUCUCUCGAAGACAAAGAAGUCGUAUUUCUGGGCGAAAUACGAUUUGAGGACGUUUGAGGCUUCAAACGAAGGCUUGAAGCUGACUGGUCUGUUCAGCUGCGAGUUUGACGAAAACUUUGAAAUUUCAAGAGUUCAUAUAGGGAUGCGUUGGUAGAAAUCAUCAAAGGGAGUUAUCAAUUUCAAGAAUUAGGUGAGGGAUUUUACGCUUAUUCAUAUGGUUAUAUAUGUUUUUAUAUCGCGUUUGAUUACUUGUUUACGUGCAUCUUAUGUCUAGGUUGUUAUGUGUGAUCAUGAGACCUAAGCCAUUGAUCUAUGUUAUGUGUGAUCAUGGGACCUAAGCCAUUGAUCGAUCAUGGGACCUAAGCCAUUGAUUUAUGUUAUGUGUGAUCAUGGGACCUAAGCCAUUGAUCCGAUCAGUGGACCUAAGUCCAUUGAUUUAUGUUAUGUGCGAUCAUGGGACCUAAGCCAUUGAUCUAUGUUAUGUGCGAUCAUGGGACCUAAGCCAUUGAUCUAUGUUAUGUGCGAUCAUGGGACCUAAGCCAUUGAUCUAUGUAUGUGUUUGGUCAUGGGACUUAAGCCAUCGACUCAAACUAUGAUUAUGUUUGUCAAGGGGCUCCGGUCUCUUGGCGUAUGUUUGCAAGUAUGAUAAUGUGAUUUGAUUAUAUAUGUGACGUAUGUGGAUAUUUGUUAUGUUCCUCACUGAGUAUAUUUUCAAUAUGCUCACCCCUUAUCGUUUCAGUUUUGCAGUUUCAGAGUCGAAGUGGCCAUGGAAGUGGAGAAUGACUAGGGAUAAGGAUUUCUUUUACAUUGGACAUUUUAGUUGAACCUAUUAAGUUUUAUUUUAUUUUCAUGUUACUACUUUAGUUUUGACAAGUUGACUUUGAAAUUAGUUUAAAUUUUCUUUAUAAAUCAAUAAAUUUUAUUUUCAUUAUAUUAGUUCUUCAAAGUUUUUAAUUUGAAAAGUUUAUGAAAAUUGGGGUGUUACAACCAUAGUACAAAAUUGAAUCGUUAUGAUUAGUUGGGAUCCACCAAUUAAUGUGCGCUGAUAUUGUACCAUGAUAUGUCUGUCUUUUUAUUCCAACAACUGUGACAUUCAUGCUUUUGUCCAUGUUGCAUAUGCAUUCAAGAUAUUAUAUUUGCUAUUUUCUUUUUAGAUCAUAGAUUGCAUGUGGACUUUUCCAAUCAUUUUCAAUAUCUGUGAUCCCACAAUCUAUUAUUAAUUCCACUUAUUAUAAAAUUAAGUACGCGGCCCUAAUACCAUAAAGGUGCAUUUGAUGAUUUUACGGAGUUGAUUGUUAAGAUUGAUAGAGUUGAAAAUUGAUUCAAUAUUUAAUUUAAUUUAAUUUUAACAUGAUAAAUAAUUAUAUAAUUGAAUGAUUAUAGAGUGGAUUGAGUUAUUUAUUAUCGGGUGAAUCAUACAAUUUAAUAUUUGAUUAAAUUGAAUUAUUUUAUUUUAUCGAUCAUGUCUUAUCCCCUCGAACCAAAUAUUUUCUAAUAGUUGUCUCAAAAACUAAAUUUAUCAUUAAUACAUACUGCACACACACACACAUAUAUAUGUAUAGGAUUUUAUAUUUUUAGGUUAAAUAUCAUUUUAUAAAUCAUAAAUUAUUUUUUAUAUUAUCAAUUAUAUCUUGAGCUAUCGAAAAUACUUUUUAAUCAUGAACUAUUGAUUUUAUAUUAAUUGUACCCUCCAAUCAUUUUUCAAUUUCGAAAAAAUGGUCGUGGCUCGCCGAAUAACACUGUGUAUCUAAAAUUGUUCCUUUUUCACUUACAUUUAUGUCAAAAAAUGACUGGUUCUAUAUUAGAAAGAAGGGUUGUUGAAGAUUUCGUUUUUCAAUUAAUAAUUAAGGCAGAAAAUGACUUCGUUUUUUGCCAUUUAAGUUAAAAAAGAAUAAUUUUAAAUAUAUCUUGUCAUCUAGCGAAUCACGUCAAAUUUCGGAGCUAAAAAAUGGACGGAGAGUAUAAUCGACACAAAAAAUGGAUAGUUUAUAAUUUAAAAGAAUAUUUUCAAAUAAUUAGUAGAUUAUUUGCAUUCCCACUUUUCCCUCAAGAUGCAUUCAUCGAUUUUUGAAACUAGUGUCGCUUCCGACAUGAACUGAGAAGGAUGUUGGACAAGUAUAUUUUUACGGUGCUGAGGGAGUAUAAGAAUGCCAAAGUAUCUUUUCUUGAUGAAGAUACAUAUAUGAAUAAUGCAUAUUUUUUUUUAUUUUUUUUGCGUUUUUUUUUUUUCAAAAGAUUCAAAGUUCUGAAAUGAUAAUUAGAUUUUGAACUUUGUGGUUAAAAUAUGGUGCAUAAACCUAAUUUACAUUGUCGUAUAAUAAAGUUCAACUAUAUAUGGAUAUUCUUAAACGUACAUAACACAAGAUUCGAAGCAUUAUCUUACAAAAAACGAAAGUUUAGAAGUCAGACCCCAUGACAUAAUCAAAGUUUCAAGAACUCUAGCUACACCAAAUAAAAAUCUUAUAAUUCUAUUUUGAAAAACAACACAAAACCUUACGGACUUAUUUAUACUGUAUUAUACCUAUAAAUUACAGUUUUUAAUUACAGCAUAAUCCUCAUACCUAUAUAUAUAUAUGGGUGAGCUAAAACAAAAACACAACUUAAAAUAUAAAAUAUGAAUCAUUUCAGCUUUUAUAUCAAUAUUUAUCUGGAUAGGGUGAAUUUUUACCUAAGUUCAAAUUCUAAAGGGAGCGAAAAUUUUAUAAAUUAAUUGAAUAUCGUUAUUCAGUCAUUACAAACAGCUUAUGCAACAUUAUAUAUAUACUGACUUAUUUAUUAUUCUUAUUUCUUAUUAAAAAAAUAGCAUUCUCACUGUAACCUAACUCUAGAUAUAGAUGACGAGGGAAAUCUACAAUAGUAUGCACUGAAUAAAUCUAACUGUAGAUAUAGAUGACGAGAGAAAUCUACAAUAGUAUGCACUGAAUAAAUCUCGGUCGAACGCAAUAGCCUGCAAAAUCAAGUAUGACAUGUACGAUUUAAUUAGAAAGUGUUGGAUUUGAGAUGUUUUAGGUUGGUAAAAGUUGAGAUUGGAGAAGCUAUAGUUCCAUGAGCAUUAAAGGUAGAUGGCAUGCAAUUGAGAAGCACAUUAAAUCCGAUGAUAAGUUACCGUUAAAAUGGUAGUUGAAAUGGGCCAGCUGAGGAUAAGGUGUAGCCCAAUAAAGGCCCAUAAUAAUUUCCACAAUAAAUAGGCAGUACCGACAUCUCACGUGAUCUUUUACGGUUUUACCCAACAACAAGAAAUGGCGUAGGACCCAACCACCCUUUUGCACUUUUUAAAACCAAUUAUCAGAUUAUUUCAUUUUGUUAUUAGCCAUUUGUGUAAUCUACUCUGAUUUAACAAUUCAUGGGAUUGGGCAAGCCACAUAUUCUGAAAGGCUAAGCAUGCAUUUUCAAAUGUAGACAAAUGCAUUGAUUGAUCAUAAAAACUGUCAGUAUCAUAGGAUCGGUCAAAUUGAAAACUUGAAUGCCAGCAAAAUCACUGAUUUUUAUUUUAUUUUUUUAUAUAAAAAAUGGGUUUAUUACAUUAGUAAAAGUUUGGAAACAGCCAAAUUUGAGUUGAUUAUGAUAUUUAGGAAAGCCGCCAGAUUUUUGUUGAGUACAAUAUUCUAGAGGGUCGCAGACACUUCCAGAAUUUAGUAGUAUUGCAAAUAAAUGUAUUGCUGCUAUAAACGUGUGCAUUAUAUCUAUAAUAAAUAAUUACAUAUGGAUGUUAUUUAUUUUGAUAAAAGAUAAAACUCUUUUUGUUUAAAACCUAUGCAUGCACCCGUUCAAAAAAAAUCUAAAGAUAUAAAAUAGGAGUAUAUUUUAUCUAUUUUAUAAAUAUUUUAUUUAAAUUCGAAACUUUGACGUGCAUCAUACAACUAGGUAAUUACUAAAAAAGAGAACCGUACAAAUGCUUAGCUGGCUGGAGAAGUAAUCUUUUAUUUGAUUGAAUUAAUGUCUACCGAACUUUUCAUAGAAUUGAAAUGGCGAUGAAAUUAAUGCAUCCUUAAACCCCAAAUGAGGAAAUGAGUGAUGAUAAAUAGUCACAUUGUGGCUGCCCAUAUAUUAAUUAAAUAAAAACAUACUCCUAUUUAUUUAAUUUAUUUUUAGUAAAAAAAUUUAAUUAUUUACAAUAAUAUUCACAUUAUAUUUAUUUAUUUUAUAGCUAUAAUAGGUAUAAUAUAGUAAACUAAUGAAAACUUUUAUAUUAAAAAUAAUAAACUAAUUAAUCUUGUACGAUAAAAAAUGAAAUUACCCUAAUAAAUAAAGAAAAAAUCAUAAUAAUAGGGGUGAGCAGCGGGUUGGACCCGAACCGAUCCGUCAAAUUUGAUGGACCGAAAAUUUUAAAAUUUUGGACCAACCCGGACUGAAUUCUAAGAGUGGACCGAUCCAAGACCGGACCGGAACAACGGGUCCGAUUCGAUCCGGAUACGACCCACUGACAAUGUAUUUUUUUCCCCAAUCUUUAAGCACAAUAUCUACUAUUCAAUAGUAGUAUACUUACUGGAGGCGGCCGUUGGCUCGGCGACGGAGGCGAGGGGUGAUCACGGGGUCACCGGGGUGGCUGCUACUGUUCGGGGCGGCGAGGAGGGCCUGUUGCGCAGCUGCGAGAUGGUUGCAUCUGGGGCUUGGGUGUAGCUUCAGGCGAGUGGCGACAGGCGGAGGGAAGGCUCGGCGGCGAGGGGUGGUCGUGGGGUCACUGGCGUGGGCCUGCUGCGAGUCUGGAUAUAGAGCGAAGGGAAGGCUCGGCGCGAGUCUGGAGACAAAGAGGGUCCGCACCGUCCGACGCAAGGCUGGGCGGAGGUCCGGUCCAGUACGGUGCUGGGCGACGGGUUUGAGUGGGUGGGGUGGCAGCGGCGGCCAGAGUUAGGGGCAAAGACAGAUUCAGUUCAAAACUUUAAAAGUAUUGAGUUACCGGUUUCCAUUUCGGUUAC